GGCACUGUGGCUCAGAGAGGUAGAGUGUUAGUUUUAAGCACAAAAACUCAGGGACAGUGCCA
Non-coding RNA from Dipodomys ordii (Ord's kangaroo rat), 62 nucleotides. Lineage: Eukaryota; Metazoa; Chordata; Mammalia; Rodentia; Heteromyidae. The record is from Rfam.